GUCUUUUUGAAUUAAAUUUAAAGUCUAAUCUGCCCACUGAUAAUAAGAUUAAAGGGCUGCAGUAUAUUGACUGUACAAAGGUAGCAUAAUAAUUAGUCUUUUAAUUGAAGACUUGUAUGAAAGAUUUGAUGAGAUAUAAACUGUCUCUUUUUUAUAAUUAGAAUUUAAUUUUUCAGUAAAAAAGCUGAAAUUAAUUUAAAAGACGAGAAGACCCUAUAGAGUUUUAUAAUUAAUUUAAUUAUAUAUUUAUAUUUAAUUUUAAAGUUAAUUAAUUUAAUUAUUUUAUUGGGGUGAUAGAAAAAUUAAAUUAACUUUUUUUAAAUAUUAAACAUUAAUUAAUGAUUUUAUGAUCCAUAAUUUAUGAUUAUAAGAAAAAAUUACCUUAGGGAUAACAGCGUAAUUUUUUUUUUUAGUUCUUAUAAGAAAAAAAGUUUGCGACCUCGAUGUUGGAUUAAGAUAAAAUUUAAAUGUAGAAAUUUAAAAUUUUGAUAUGUUCGAUCAUUAAAAUCUUACA
Molecule: ribosomal RNA, 514 nt
Filed under: Zinaida gotama
Lineage: Eukaryota; Metazoa; Arthropoda; Insecta; Lepidoptera; Hesperiidae
Description: partial 16S ribosomal RNA
Source: RNAcentral